GUAAAAAGUAGAAUAAUAGAUUUGAAAUAUUUAUUAUAUAGAUUUAAAGAGAUAAUCAUGGAAUAUAAAAUUAUUAAAAAUAAUUUAAUAAUAACUAUUAAUAGGAUUAGGUUACUAAUAAAUUAAUAAUAAUUAAUUUAAAAACCUAAAGGUAAACCUUAUAUUAAUAAUAUAUAUAUUUAUAUUAUUAAUAAUAAUAAGAACUAAGUGAACUGAAACAUCUAAGUAACUUAAGGAAUAAAAAUCAACAGAGAUAUUAUGAGUAUUGGUGAGAGAAAAUAAUAAAGGUCUAAUAAGUAUUAUGUAAGAAUUAUGUAAGAAAAUAGGAUAACAAAUUCUAAGACUAAAUACUAUUAAUAAGUAUAAAAAGUACCGUAAGGGAAAGUAUGAAAAUGAUUAUUUUAUAAGCAAUCAUGGAUAUAAUUUUAAUAUUAAUGAUGUACCUUUUGUAUAAUGGGUCAGCAAGUAAUUAAUAUUAGUAAAACAAUAAAGUUAUAAAUAAAUAGAAAUAAUAUAUAUAUAUAUAUAAAAAAAUAUAUUAAAAUAUUUAAUUAAUAUUAAUUGACCCGAAAGCAAACGAUCUAACUAUGAUAAGAUGGGUAAACGAUCGAACAGGUUGAUGUUGCAAUAUCAUCUGAUUAAUUGUGGUUAGUAGUGAAAGACAAAUCUGGUUUGCAGAUAGCUGGUUUUCUAUGAAAUAUAUGUAAGUAUAGCCUUUAUAAAUAAUAAUUAUUAUAUAAUAUUUUAAUAAUAUUAUAUAAAGAAUGGUACAGCAAUUAAUAUAUAUUAGGGAACUAUAAAAGUUUUAUUAAUAAUAUUAAAUCUCGAAAUGUUUAAUUAUAUAUAAUAAAGAGUCAGAUUAUGUGCGAUAAGGUAAAUAAUCAAAAGGGAAACAGCCCAGAUUAAGAUAUAAAGUUCCUAAUAAAUAAUAAGUGAAAAAAAUAUUAAAAUAUUAUAAUAUAAUCAGUUAAUGGGUUUGACAAUAACCAUUUUUUAAUGAACAUGUAACAAUGCACUGAUUUAUAAAAAUAAAAUAAUAUUUAAAAUCAAAUAUAUAUUUAAUAUAUAUUUGUUAAUAGAUAAUAUACGGAUCUUAAUAAUAAAAAUUAUUUAAUUCCAAAAAUGGAAUAUCAUAUUAAAUUUAUAAAAAAAAAAAUAUGAAUACUGAAUAUCUAAAUAUUAUUAUUAAUAAUAAUAAUAAUAAUAUGGUAAUAGAACAUUUAAUGAUAAUAUAUAUUAGUUAUUAAUUAAUAUAUUAAUUAAUUAAAUAGAGAAUGCUGACAUGAGUAACGAAAAAAAGGUAUAAACCUUUUCACCUAAAACAUAAGGUUUAACUAUAAAAGUACGGCCCCUAAUUAAAUAAUAAGAAUAAAAAUAUAUUUAAGAUGGGAUAAUCUAUAUUAAUAAAAAAUUAUCUUAAAAUAUAUAUAUUAUUAUUAAUUAAUUAAUUAAUAAUAUAUAUAAUUAUAUUUAUAUAUUAUAUCUAUAUAUAUAUAUAUAUAUAAACUAAUAAAGAUCAGGAAAAGUAUUAAUGUAUACCGUAAUGUAGACCGACUCAGGUAUGUAAGUAGAGAAUAUGAAGGUGAAUUAGAGAAUUAAAGGGAAGGAACUCGGCAAAGAUAGCUCAUAAGUUAGUCAAUAAAGAGUAAUAAGAACAAAGUUGUACAACUGUUUACUAAAAACACCGCACUUUGCAGAAACGAUAAGUUUAAGUAUAAGGUGUGAACUCUGCUCCAUGCUUAAUAUAUAAAUUAAAUUAUUUAACGAUAAUUUAAUUAAAUUUAGGUAAAUAGCAGCCUUAUUAUGAGGGUUAUAAUGUAGCGAAAUUCCUUGGCCUAUAAUUGAGGUCCCGCAUGAAUGACGUAAUGAUACAACAACUGUCUCCCCUUUAAACUAAGUGAAAUUGAAAUCGUAGUGAAGAUGCUAUGUACCUUCAGCAAGACGGAAAGACCCUAUGCAGCUUUACUGUAAUUAGAUAGAUCGAAUUAUUGUUUAUUAUAUUCAGCAUAUUAAGUAAUCCUAUAAUUUUUUUAUAGGUAAUCGUUUAGAUAUUAAUGAGAUACUUAUUAUAAUAUAAUGAUAAUUCUAAUCUUAUAAAUAAUAAUUAAUUAAUUAAUUAAUUAUUAAUACUUAAUAGAUAUAAUUCUUAAGUAAUAUAUAAUAUAUUAUUAUAUGUAUUAUAUAUAUAUAUAUAAGAGACAAUCUCUAAUUGGUAGUUUUGAUGGGGCGUCAUUAUCAGCAAAAGUAUCUGAAUAAGUCCAUAAAUAAAUAUAUAAAAUUAUUGAAUAAGAAUAAUAUAUAUUAUAUAUAUUAAUUAUAAAUUGAAAUAUAUUUAUAUUUUUAAUGAAUAUAUUUUAGUAAUAGAUAAAAAUAUGUACAGUAAAAUUGUAAGGAAAACAAUAAUAACUUUCUAUUUAUUACAGGGUAAUAUAACGAAAGAGUAGAUAUUGUAAGUUAUGUUUGCCACCUCGAUGUCGACUCAACAUUUCCUCUUGGUUGUAAAAGCUAAGAAGGGUUUGACUGUUCGUCAAUUAAAAUGUUACGUGAGUUGGGUUAAAUACGAUGUGAAUCAGUAUGGUUCCUAUCUGCUGAAGGAAAUAUUAUCAAAUUAAAUCUCAUUAUUAGUACGCAAGGACCAUAAUGAAUCAACCCAUGGUGUAUCUAUUGAUAAUUUAAUAAUAUAUUUAUAAUAAAAUUUUUAUAAUAAAUAUAUUAUCUAUAUUAGUUUAUAUUUUUAUAUAAUUAUCAUAGUAGAUAAGCUAAGUUGAUAAUAAAUAAAUAUUGAAUACAUAUUAAAUAUGAAGUUGUUUUAAUAAGAUAAUUAAUCUGAUAAUUUUAUACUAAAAUUUAAUAAUUAUAGGUUUUAUAUAUUCUUUAUAUAUUAUAUUAAUAAUAUUAUAUAUAAUAUUAAUAAAAUACUAAUUUAUCAGUUAUCUAUAUAAUAUCUAAUCUAUUAUUCUAUAUACU
RNAcentral lists this ribosomal RNA (2967 nucleotides) under Saccharomyces paradoxus. RNAcentral describes it as "21S ribosomal RNA". It matches the Rfam family "Bacterial large subunit ribosomal RNA". The record is from RNAcentral. Lineage: Eukaryota; Fungi; Ascomycota; Saccharomycetes; Saccharomycetales; Saccharomycetaceae.